Molecule: ribosomal RNA, 434 nt
Filed under: uncultured Lachnospiraceae bacterium
Lineage: Bacteria; Bacillati; Bacillota; Clostridia; Lachnospirales; Lachnospiraceae
Description: partial 16S ribosomal RNA
Rfam family: Bacterial small subunit ribosomal RNA
Source: RNAcentral
ACGGAAGGCAGCAGUGGGGAAUAUUGCACAAUGGGGGAAACCCUGAUGCAGCGACGCCGCGUGAGCGAAGACGUCUUUCGGUAUGUAAAGCUCUAUCAGCAGGGAAGAAAAUGACGGUACCUGACUAAGAAGCCCCGGAUAACUACGUGCCAGCAGCCGCGGUAAUACGCAGGGGGCAAGCGUUAUCCGGAUUUACUGGGUGUAAAGGGAGCGUAGGCGGCAAGGUAAGUCUGAAGUGAAAUGCCGGGGCUCAACCCCGGAACUGCGUUGGAAACUGUCUCGCUCGAGUACCGGAGGGGUAGGCGGAAUUCCUAGUGUAGCGGUGAAAUGCGUAGAUAUUAGGAGGAACACCAGUGGCGAAGGCGGCUGACUGGACGGUAACUGACAUUGAGGCUCGAAAGCGUGGGGAGCAAACAGGAUUAGAUACCCUGGUA